This 497-nucleotide ribosomal RNA is filed under the name uncultured bacterium. RNAcentral describes it as "partial 16S ribosomal RNA". It matches the Rfam family "Bacterial small subunit ribosomal RNA", at positions 28 to 507 of the family's 1533-position model. The record is from RNAcentral.
GAUGAACGCUGGCGGCGUGCCUAAUACAUGCAAGUCGAGCGAACAGACGAGGAGCUUGCUCCUCUGACGUUAGCGGCGGACGGGUGAGUAACACGUGGAUAACCUACCUCUAAGACUGGGCUAACUGCGGGAAACCGGAGUUAAUACCGGAUAAUAUAUUGAACCGCAUGGUUCAAUAGUGAAAGACGGUUUUGCUGUCACUUAUAGAUGGAUCCGCGCCGCAUUAGCUAGUUGGUAAGGUAACGGCUUACCAAGGCAACGAUGCGUAGCCGACCUGAGGGGGUGAUCGGCCACGCUGGAACUGAGACUCGGUCCAGACUCCUACGGGAGGCAGCAGUAGGAAAUCUUCCGCAAUGACCGAAAGCCUGACGGAGCAACGCCGCGUGAGUGAUGAAGGUCUUCGGAUCGUAAAACUCUGUUAUUAGCAAAGAACAAAUGUGUAAGUAACUAUGCACGUCUUGACGGUACCUAAUCAGAAAGCCACGGCUAACUACGUG